RNAcentral lists this ribosomal RNA (449 nucleotides) under uncultured bacterium. Its description in RNAcentral is "bacterial SSU rRNA". It matches the Rfam family "Bacterial small subunit ribosomal RNA", at positions 355 to 825 of the family's 1533-position model. The record is from RNAcentral.
UGGGGAAUAUUGCGCAAUGGGGGAAACCCUGACGCAGCGACGCCGCGUGUGGGAUGAAGGUCUUCGGAUUGUAAACCACUGUCGCGAGGGACGAAGCUCUGACGGUACCUCGAAAGGAAGCACCGGCUAACUCUGUGCCAGCAGCCGCGGUAAUACAGAGGGUGCGAGCGUUGUCCGGAAUCACUGGGCGUAAAGGGCGCGUAGGCGGCCCGGUAAGUAGGGGGUGAAAUCUCAUGGCUCAACUGUGAGGCUGCCUUCUAGACUGCCAGGCUUGAGCACAGUAGAGGCGAGUGGAAUUCCCGGUGUAGCGGUGGAAUGCGUAGAGAUCGGGAAGAACAUCGGUGGCGAAGGCGGCUCGCUGGGCUGUUGCUGACGCUGAGGCGCGAAAGCUAGGGGAGCAAACGGGAUUAGAUACCCUCGUAGUCCCUGAGCGGGCUGGCAAGGCGCAU